CAUGCAAGUCGAACGAUGAACUGGUGCUUGCACUGGGGAUUAGUGGCGAACGGGUGAGUAACACGUGAGUAACCUGCCCUUGACUCUGGGAUAAGCCUGGGAAACUGGGUCUAAUACCGGAUAUGACCUUCCAUCGCAUGGUGGUUGGUGGAAAGCUUUUGUGGUUUUGGAUGGACUCGCGGCCUAUCAGCUUGUUGGUGAGGUAAUGGCUUACCAAGGCGACGACGGGUAGCCGGCCUGAGAGGGUGACCGGCCACACUGGGACUGAGACACGGCCCAGACUCCUACGGGAGGCAGCAGUGGGGAAUAUUGCACAAUGGGCGGAAGCCUGAUGCAGCGACGCCGCGUGAGGGAUGACGGCCUUCGGGUUGUAAACCUCUUUCAGUAGGGAAGAAGCCGCAGGGUGACGGUGCCUGCGGAAGAAGCGCCGGCUAGAUACCGGCCCCCACCCGCGGUAAUACAUAGGGCGCAAGCAGUAUCCGGAAUUAUUGGGCGUAAAGAGCUCGUAGGCGGUUUGUCGCGUCUGCCGUGAAAGUCCGGGGCUCAACUCCGGAUCUGCGGUGGGUACCGGCAGACUAUAAUGAUGUCGGGGAGACUGGAAUUCGGGGUGUAGCGGUGAAAUGCCCCAAAAUUAUGACGACCACCGAUGGCGGCCG
Molecule: ribosomal RNA, 656 nt
Filed under: Micrococcaceae bacterium WST5-5
Lineage: Bacteria; Bacillati; Actinomycetota; Actinomycetes; Micrococcales; Micrococcaceae
Description: bacterial SSU rRNA
Rfam family: Bacterial small subunit ribosomal RNA
Source: RNAcentral